GGUUGACCUCGGAUCAGGUAGGGAUACCCGUUC
Molecule: ribosomal RNA, 33 nt
Filed under: fungal sp. 2.2.4T
Lineage: Eukaryota; Fungi
Description: partial 28S ribosomal RNA
Source: RNAcentral